Molecule: non-coding RNA, 138 nt
Organism: Gossypium arboreum
Lineage: Eukaryota; Viridiplantae; Streptophyta; Magnoliopsida; Malvales; Malvaceae
Source: Rfam
UGUUAAAAAUUUCAUCCAUAUCUACCAUUAAAAAAUGGCAUGACUAACAAAAUAAUCAAAUAGUGACAAGUGGUGUGCCACGUGUACCUUAUGCUGAUAUAUAGGGACCAGUUUUUAACAAUAGAAGUGAAUGAAACA